GACGAACGCUGGCGGCGUGCCUAAUACAUGCAAGUCGAGCGAAUGGAAGGGAGCUUGCUCCCUGAAGUUAGCGGCGGACGGGUGAGUAACACGUGGGCAACCUGCCUGUAAGACUGGGAUAACUUCGGGAAACCGGAGCUAAUACCGGAUACGUUCUUUCCUCGCAUGAGGAAAGAUGGAAAGAUGGUUUCGGCUAUCACUUACAGAUGGGCCCGCGGCGCAUUAGCUAGUUGGUGGGGUAACGGCCCACCAAGGCGACGAUGCGUAGCCGACCUGAGAGGGUGAUCGGCCACACUGGGACUGAGACACGGUCCAGACUCCUACGGGAGGCAGCCGUAGGGAAUCUUCCGCAAUGGACGAAAGUCUGACGGAGCAACGCCGCGUGAGCGAAGAAGGCCUUCGGGUCGUAAAGCUCUGUUGUCAGGGAAGAACAAGUGCCAGAGUAACUGCUGGCACCUUGACGGUACCUGACCAGAAAGCCACGGCUAACUACGUGCCAGCCGCCGCAGUAA
RNAcentral lists this ribosomal RNA (512 nucleotides) under uncultured bacterium. RNAcentral describes it as "partial 16S ribosomal RNA". It matches the Rfam family "Bacterial small subunit ribosomal RNA", at positions 28 to 523 of the family's 1533-position model. The record is from RNAcentral.